ACUCCUACGGGAGGCAGCAGUGGGGAAUCUUGGACAAUGGGGGAAACCCUGAUCCAGCAAUGCCGCGUGUGGGAUGAAGGCCCUCGGGUUGUAAACCACUUUUGGCAGGAAAGAAAUCGCCUGUGCUAAUACCAUGGGCGGAUGACGGUACCUGCAGAAUAAGCACCGGCUAACUACGUGCCAGCAGCCGCGGUAAUAC
Molecule: ribosomal RNA, 199 nt
Filed under: uncultured bacterium
Lineage: Bacteria
Description: partial 16S ribosomal RNA
Rfam family: Bacterial small subunit ribosomal RNA
Source: RNAcentral